Molecule: long non-coding RNA, 2974 nt
Filed under: Canis lupus familiaris (dog)
Lineage: Eukaryota; Metazoa; Chordata; Mammalia; Carnivora; Canidae
Description: lncRNA (ENSCAFG00845003367.1)
Source: RNAcentral
GUGAACACAGAGAUUUCAGAAAAUCUGCUUCAGGAAAGGAAAAAAUAUAAGCUAGCACCAGUUUUCCAACUUAGUUUCGCAUUGAUAAGUUUCUAGAAUUAGAAACAAGGAAAAGAAAUUUUAACUGUAACUUUGUUUCCUUUCUAUGAAUUAGGACCAAUUUUUGAAGCACCUGACUUACUAUAGUUAUCAUUAUCUACUUAAUUAUGAAAUAUUUAGGAAUAUUUCAGACUACAGUUGACCUUUGAGCAACACAGUGGUUAGGUGCACUUACCCCCGUGCAGUCAAAACUCUGUAUAAUUUCUGAUUCUCCCAAAAUUUAAUUACUAAUAGCCUACUGGUGAUGGGAAGCCUUACCAAUAACACAGUCCAUUAACACAUGGUUUGUACAUUACAUGUGUUAUAUAAUAUAUUCUUAAAAUAAAGUAAGCUAGAGAAAAAAAGGUUAUUGAGAAAAACAUAAGAGAAAAUACAGUACAACACAACAGCCAAGAAAGUCCAUGUGUAGGCUAACUAGACCUGCAGCUACAAUUCCAUGUUGGUCAAGGAUCAAAUGUGCAUUACAAAUAUUCCCAUCUAGAAUGCUCUUAUUUCUUAUAAAAGGCAUCCUCUCAUUGAAUUCCCAAAAUAGGGUCUAAAUACGGUACUAAGUGGUGCCUAGGUGGCCCAGUCACUUAAGUGCCUGCCUUCAUUUCCUUAAGGAACAAUCAAAGUAAUAUAAUGAUCUUUUCGCCAAAAGUCUUUUCCUAAAUACUUGCUUCUGUGACCCUGGUUUAUUUCCAGGUGAGAAUUGAGUUAGAUGGUAGAAAUAGCUUGCAAUCCAUUAAUAAAGAGAACAUAUUUGCAAUUUUAUUUAUACUUUUCCAUUUAUCAAAAACAUAAGAGGGUAAGAAAAUUAUACACAUAAAAACAACGUAUCAGCAAAUUUUAAUUCGAAGACUCAUUAAUUAGUAGGAUUUUCUCAUAACAGUUUGUUUCCAAACUACCAAUCAUAGAAAUCUAAGGUUCCAUUGGGGAUACUGUAGGAUUGAGGGACAAAAGUCUACAGCUGUAGACUCAUCUCUCUUUUAGCUACACAGCUCCACUGGUCUCGGUUUUGUAUAAUACAGUUUAAUGCAAAAACAGAAACAAACAAAAAACAAAACAAAACAAAAACAAAUUAAGUUCCAUUCUUUGAAAAAAAUAUUGUUUUCCAAAAGGUAGUCACUAAUUUAGUCAAAGUCCCUAAUUUUUUUAUUUUAAUUUUUAUUUAUUUAUGAUAGUCACAGAGAGAGAGAGACAGAGACACAGGCAGAGGGAGAAGCAGGCUCCAUGCACUGGGAGCCUGAUGUGGGAUUCGAUCCCGGGUCUCCAGGAUCACGCCAUGGGCCAAAGGCAGACGCCAAACCACUGUGCCACCCAGGGAUCCCAAAGUCCCUAAUUUUACAUAAGAGACAAGAAGGCCUCAGAAAGAUUGCAGUUUGCCUCAGGUCAAAAGACCAAAGAGUUGCAGGCCAGGAAUGUGCUUUAGGUCCUCCUGAGCUGAGAGUUUUUAUGCCAGUUACUUCAUCAUCUUCAGGAAAAAUACCUACAUUUUUAACUAUAACUGACUGAAAAUGAACACAUAAAAGUUUGUCAUGUGGCUCAAUAACGACUAGGCAUGAGGCACAAAACAGCUUUCUAAUUAAAUUAUAAAUUUUAAAGUCUAAAGUGUAAUUUAAAUUAUAAAUUUUAAUGUUUUAUGAAUAAAAAUACAGCAAUGGAAAUGAUCUUUACUCCUAUUGGGAACAGUUAAUAGACUGCAUUUAUAAGCACAAAUUUUUUAAACCACAAGACACGGAACUUGAAGGAGAAAAUCUUUAGUUGAACCAAAGAGGCUGAAAUGGAGGAAACUCUUCCUGGAAAGAAUUAUUCUUUUCCUCCAGAUAAAACUUGGUUUACCAAAAUCAAUCAACAAAUGAGUUAUCUAUGUUGUGGAUUAUUAAACACAAAACAGACUUCUCUUUACCACCUAGUAUGCUCUGUCCAACCUCUCAUCAUUAUGAGAGUUGGUAUGUACAAAAGACAGGACUAACUUUAAUUUAAAUCCAGUCAGAAAUUAGAGGUAAACCAUCAUUACCCACAAGUGGAUUUAUCUCUACCUUCCUCACAGCAGGAAGGGAGAUUUGCCCUAAUGAGUGAAUUGGGGAGAAGGCACUAGGCAGUGCUUAGGAGAUUCCAAAUCUCUUUUUUGAAAAGAUGUGCUCACCCAUGGUAACAUGAAUUCAGGUCUGCUCUCAUCUUCGUGGGAUGGGCAUCAAACAUUUGUUUCCUCCAUUUACAACUGUGUGGGGAAGUGCCUAAUUUGGGAUAAAGAAUUGGGAAGCCCACUGUGGCUACAUACCCACCCAAACCACAUCCUCCAAUCUGUUAGCAUGUAUUAGUAACAAAGGCUACUAAGUUUAACUCCAUCUGCCUGACUCCUGUGCUCUGAACUCAGAAAAAGAAGAGCACUGUCCUCUGCCACCUACCCCACCACAGCUCCAAUGAGAGAAAUGACCAGACAAUACUUUGAAAAAUGUUUCUUCUUGCUUGACUUUAUAACUAACAUUCAUUGUUCAAAGCAACAUAUUUUGAAGAGGGAAAAGUUGGGAAAGAACAAUUUUAGAAACAAGCAGAGAAAGUCAGACAAAACGAGGAGACAGAGGAGUAUGUUCUAAAUGAAAGAACAAGGCCACGAGAUAGAACCUCAGAAAAAUAACGAAAUGAAACAGAGAUAAGGAGUCAGCCUGAUAAAGAGUUCAAAGUAAUGGUCACAGAGAUGCUCAGCAAACUUGGAAGAAUGGACGGAUUCAGUGAGAACUUCAACAAAGAGAAAAUAUACAAAAGAACCAAUUAGGGCUGAAGAAUACAAUAACUGAAAUGAAAAAUACACCAGACACAAUCGACAGCAGAUUAAAAGAUGUGAAGAACAGAUCAGCAAUCUGCAAGAAAGGGUAGUAAAAAUCAUCCAAGC